CCGGCGGCCGCCGUGGCCGUGGCUACGCCGCGCCUUCCGCCCAGGAGCUGCCUCCUCUUGAUCGCGCCCUUGCGCACCGCACCCACAGGCCGCGGGACCCCGGGGCACCCGUGCGCUGGAGCCUCCGCCGUACGAUCCGGACUCCCAGAGCUAGAUGCUGGGAGGGGUCGGCUAGCCCAGCGCUCCGCUCCCGCUGGGAAUGGGCUACUUUGGACACCUGCGGCCGCCCUGUAACAGGGACUUUCCCAGCGAUUGCAACCUUAGCCGGCUGGGAGGGAGAGGAGAGCAGCGGCGCUUCUUCCCACUCCCAGGCUCGCAGCUAUAGCGGAGGCGCCUACCCCAAGUACGGAAAGGGCGGGAGCCCCUCGGGGACCUAGAGAAACCCGGAUCUCCUAUUGCCACCGGUACCCUGGGCGAGCCUACACUUAAACUGAGAGUGUACGGGGACGUUUCCGCCGUCUUCCCGAAGACCCUUCCGCCACUACGCCUGCUUGAGCAAGCCGUGUGGUCUGAAGCCCAGUCUGCCACUUCCCCGCCCUCCCUUCUUCCACUCACCUCUGUUUCUCUUACCUUUUUUUUCCCCAAAGCUCCAAAGCCAAGAUGGACAUGAGUGAACAAGUUAGGAUACAGCAGAGAGUGUGCAUUGAGAGGGUGGUGAAGAGGUGGGUGAAGAUAAUGAAAAUAAAAAU
Molecule: long non-coding RNA, 689 nt
Filed under: Marmota monax (woodchuck)
Lineage: Eukaryota; Metazoa; Chordata; Mammalia; Rodentia; Sciuridae
Source: RNAcentral